AGUCGAGCGAGAAAGUGUAGCAAUACAUGAGUACAGCGGCGCACGGGUGAGUAACACGUGGAUAACCUGCCUCAAAGUGGGGAAUAACACCGGGAAACCGGUGCUAAUACCGCAUAUUCUGAUGGAGCCUGCGGGCUUUGUCAGUAAAGGAGCAAUUCGCUAUGAGAGGGGUCCGCGGCUGAUUAGCUAGUUGGUGAGGUAAUGGCUCACCAAGGCAACGAUCAGUAGCCGGUCUGAGAGGACGGUCGGCCACACUGGAACUGAGACACGGUCCAGACUCCUACGGGAGGCAGCAGUGGGGAAUUUUUCGCAAUGGGGGCAACCCUGACGAAGCAAUGCCGCGUGGAUGAUGAAGUAUUUCGGUACGUAAAAUCCUUUCGACAGGGACGAAACCGCAAGGUUGACGGUACCUGUAGAAGAAGCCCCGGCUAACUCCGUGCCAGCAGCCGCGGUAAUACGGGGGGGGCAAGCGUUGUUCGGAAUUACUGGGCGUAAAGGGUGCGUAGGCGGCUUUCUAAGUUGGAUGUGAAAACUAUGGGCUCAACCCAUAGCCUGCAUCCAAAACUGGAGAGCUUGGGUUCUGGAGGGGAAAGCGGAAUUCCUGGUGUAGCGGUGAAAUGCGUAGAUAUCAGGAGGAACACCGGUGGCGAAGGCGGCUUUCUGGACAGACACCGACGCUGAGGCACGAAAGCUAGGGGAGCAAACAGGAUUAGAUACCCUGGUAGUCCUAGCCCUAUACGAUGGAUACUUGCUGUGAGGGGGAUUGAAACCCUUUGUGGCGAAGCUAACGCAUUAAGUA
Molecule: ribosomal RNA, 799 nt
Filed under: uncultured Bacillota bacterium
Lineage: Bacteria; Bacillati; Bacillota
Description: bacterial SSU rRNA
Rfam family: Bacterial small subunit ribosomal RNA
Source: RNAcentral